This 285-nucleotide unclassified non-coding RNA is filed under the name plant metagenome. RNAcentral's name for it is "partial contains small subunit ribosomal RNA, internal transcribed spacer 1, and 5.8S ribosomal RNA". The stretch from base 1 to 54 matches the Rfam family "Eukaryotic small subunit ribosomal RNA", at positions 1778 to 1831 of the family's 1831-position model. The record is from RNAcentral.
GGAAGUAAAAGUCGUAUCAAGGUUUCCGUAGGUGAACCUGCGGAAGGAUCAUUAUUGUAUAACCGAGGUGCGAGGGCUGUCGCUGACCCGAAAGGUCGUGCACGCCCAAGUGCCCUCACACACAUCCAUCUCACCCCUAUGUGCACCACCGCGUGGGUCCCCCUUUGGCUUGUUCGGAGGGGGGCUUACGUUUUCACACAAACUUUGUAUGCAGUGUAGAAUGUAUUUUUUGUUUUUGCGAUCACGCAAUCAAUACAACUUUCAACAACGGAUCUCUUGGCUCUC